RNAcentral lists this ribosomal RNA (420 nucleotides) under uncultured beta proteobacterium. RNAcentral's name for it is "bacterial SSU rRNA". It matches the Rfam family "Bacterial small subunit ribosomal RNA", at positions 9 to 433 of the family's 1533-position model. The record is from RNAcentral. Lineage: Bacteria; Pseudomonadati; Pseudomonadota; Betaproteobacteria.
GAGUUUGAUCGUGGCUCAGAUUGAACGCUGGCGGAAUGCUUUACACAUGCAAGUCGAGCGGCAGCGCGGGGCAACUUGGCGGCGAGCGGCGAACGGGUGAGUAAUGCAUCGGAACAUGUCCAUGUCGUGGGGGAUAGCCCGGCGAAAGCCGGAUUAAUACCGCAUGAGCCCGAGAGGGGAAAGUGGGGGACCGCAAGGCCUCACGUCGAUGGGUUGGCCGAUGUCCGAUUAGCUAGUUGGUGAGGUAAAGGCUCACCAAGGCGAUGAUCGGUAGCUGGUCUGAGAGGAUGAUCAGCCACACUGGGACUGAGACACGGCCCAGACUCCUACGGGAGGCAGCAGUGGGGAAUUUUGGACAAUGGGGGCAACCCUGAUCCAGCCAUUCCGCGUGAGUGAAGAAGGCCUUCGGUUGUAAGACUC